GCUUGAACUUGCUGAUUGGUUUUGCUGUCUUCUGCUUGCAAUGGACUCUUUCUCCUCUGCAGGGUGCCCCUGCCACCCAUGCCACCCUGCCUUAGAGCCAGCCAACUAUGGACUGAAACUGCUAUGAACUGUAGAGAUCAAGAGGACAACAGAAAAGAUGGCCUGAGGACAUCACAAAACCAGCAAGACCCUAUCCUUUAAAAAUCUCAAAAUUGUAAAAGUGAAAGACUGCAUUGAAAAAAAAAAAGCCUCAGAGUACCAUGUUCCAGAAUGGCAACAGCCUAGAGUUCCUUGGGAUUGGAUUCAGCGUGCUCAGUGAUUCAGGCACCCUACGGCUAAGAAAAAAAGAAGUCUGGCCACUGCCCCAGCCAGUGGCAGACCCUGGCACCAUCCACGUGGUGCUGGUUUUGGGCGCAUGCAGUAUGCAAGAAUUGUGGGAUCAGCAAGGCUUCCACCCAGAUUUCAGAAGGCCUGGGAGGCCAGGCAGUGUGCCCCUGAGAGAGCAGUGUGUGAAGCUGUGAGGGCGAAGCUGAAGGUGCAGUGGAGACUCCAGAAAUUUGGAGAAGCCAAGAACAUGGAUGGUUUGAGGAAAACUGCAAGGAAGGUGCAGAGCCCACCUAAGAGAGAAGCCAUGAGAGUUAUAACUACCAGCAGCACUGUAAGGUUGGAGCCAUGCUUUGUAGUUCACAUCUUGCCACAGAUUGCCUAGGAUGCUGGACAUGGAACUACAGGAAUUAAUGUUUGUCUUGCUGGACUUUAGUCUUACUUUGUUCCCAUUUCUUUCUAUUCCACUGUUUGUACCUUUUGGAAUAGUGUUUAACUUUCUUUUCAUUUGUACAGGGGCUUGCAGCUAAGAGUUUGCCUUAAAUGUCAGAGGAAACUUUAGACUUAGACUUUUCAGCAAAGCUGAAACUGUUAGGACUUUGGCAACUCUUGGAGAUGGACAAAAUAGCUUUUGCAUAAAGGAAUAUGCAUGCAUCUUUGAAGGGCCAGGGGUGGAAUGUUAUGGCUUGUGUUUAGAUAUCCCCCCAAAGCCUCAUUGCAGUUAUAGAUGGGGCAUUUUCAGAGGUGGCUGAAUCUAGAGUGUGUGAAUAAUUCAUAGUAUAAUGCUAGGACUAAGGGUGCUGGGACUAAGGGUGGGUGAUUACUACAUCAGUCCACUGAUUGGUUUGGCACCUCCUUAACCUGGUAGCCUAGAUAGAAUAGAAAAGAGGCAGAAAAAUAGUUGCUAAGGCCCCUUGCUUGCUCUCAUCUGCCUAUUUGUGUUGGACUAUUUCUUCUCUGUGAUGCCCCUCUGCCAUGCCACCCUGGCUUAGAGCCAGCCAACUGUGAACUGAAACCUCUACAAACUAUGAGCCGAAAUAAACCUUUCCUCAUUUAACUUUGGGUGUAGGGUAUUUUGUCCCAGCAAUGGGAAAAGCAACUAAGACAGUAGAGUUGAAAAUGAAAAUUUUAACCUGGCACCUUGUUUUCUACCAGAUCAUAGUUGGUUCCAUGGGAUCCACCCAGGUCAUUUGCAUCUCAACACUGGACCGCACCAGAUGAGGUCCUGCCUUCCUCCAGGAUGCUGCAGAGUGUUACAGUGGUAACUGAGUCAUUUGAAGAGGACACAUUACCUUGUGCCUACUUUUAGUAGAUAAAAUGCUAAUGCCUCUGUAUUGUUUGGUGCAUGGGAUCAGAGUUUCUCAUGGUUGGUGUCCCCUUCUGUUUCUCAAAUUCUGCAGAUGACAGUGAUAUACAUUAUUUUUCAACUGUUCAUUCUGUGUGGUUUCUUUAACAAUAUUCACUUCUAAAAAACAGAACAAAUGCACUUUGAUAAAUCUCCUGUUUUUUUUCAGAAAAUAAUAAAGAUUGCUAAUUUGAUAUACUA
Long non-coding RNA from Heterocephalus glaber (naked mole-rat), 1870 nucleotides. NCBI's taxonomy places the organism in Eukaryota, Metazoa, Chordata, Mammalia, Rodentia, Bathyergidae. The record is from Ensembl.